RNAcentral lists this ribosomal RNA (460 nucleotides) under uncultured bacterium. RNAcentral's name for it is "partial 16S ribosomal RNA". It matches the Rfam family "Bacterial small subunit ribosomal RNA", at positions 338 to 795 of the family's 1533-position model. The record is from RNAcentral.
CCUACGGGUGGCAGCAGUGAGGAAUAUUGGUCAAUGGACGCAAGUCUGAACCAGCCAUGCCGCGUGCAGGAAGACGGCUCUAUGAGUUGUAAACUGCUUUUGUACGAGGGUAAACGCAGAUACGCGUAUCUGUCUGAAAGUAUCGUACGAAUAAGGAUCGGCUAACUCCGGGCCAGCAGCCGCGGGAAUACGGAGGAUUCAAGCGUUAUCCGGAUUUAUUGGGUUUAAAGGGGGCGUAGGCGGUCGGAUAAGUUAGAGGUGAAAUCCCGAGGCUCAACUUCGGAAUUGCCUCGGAUACUGUUAGGCUAGAGAGUAGUUGAGGUAGGCGGAAUGUAUGGUGUAGCGGUGAAAUGCUUAGAGAUCAUACAGAACACCGAUUGCGAAGGCAGCUUACCAAGCUACUUCUGACGUUGAGGCACGAAAGCGUGGGGAGCAAACAGGAUUAGAUACCCGAGUAGUC